Molecule: ribosomal RNA, 301 nt
Filed under: uncultured bacterium
Lineage: Bacteria
Description: partial 16S ribosomal RNA
Rfam family: Archaeal small subunit ribosomal RNA
Source: RNAcentral
CAGUCGCCGCGGGAAAACCAGCACCUCGAGUGGUCAGGAGGUUUAUUGGGCCUAAAGCAUCCGUAGCCGGUUGCAUAAGUUUUCGGUUAAAUCUAUGCGCUUAACGUAUAGGCCGCCGAAAAUACUGUGCAGCUAGGGAGUGGGAGAGGUACACGGUACUCGAUAGGAAGGGGUAAAAUCCUUUGAUCUAUUGAUGACCACCUGUGGCGAAGGCGGUGUACCAGAACACGUUCGACGGUGAGGGAUGAAAGCUGGGGGAGCAAACCGGAUUAGAUACCCGAGUAGUCCCUGUCUCUUAUUC